This 385-nucleotide ribosomal RNA is filed under the name Dictyocoela roeselum. RNAcentral describes it as "SSU rRNA". It matches the Rfam family "Microsporidia small subunit ribosomal RNA", at positions 51 to 394 of the family's 1311-position model. Lineage: Eukaryota; Fungi; Microsporidia. The record is from RNAcentral.
UGCAUGUGUAAGCGAAGCGAUAUGUGGAGCGGUGAAAGGCUCAGUAACGGGCGAUUUAUUUGAUCUCCUGGGACGGACAACAUCGGGAAACUGAUGGGAAAACGUCUAAGUUGCAGUUAAAUGAUUGUGACGUAAACCAUAGUGUGCAGGAGAGUAAGAUGCCAUCCUAUCAGUUAGUAAGUAGGGUAAGGGCCUACUUAGACGAAGACGGGUACGGGGAAUGAGGGUUUGAUUCCGGAGAGGGAGCCUGAGAGAUGGCUACCAGGACCAAGGUCAGCAGCAGGCGCGAAAAUUAUCGAAGCCCGCCUAGGGGCGAUAGUGAGGAGACGUGUAUACGAAGUACGUGUAAAGACCGUACUAAUAACUGGAGGUCAAGUCUGGUGCC